Molecule: ribosomal RNA, 423 nt
Filed under: Plasmodium inui
Lineage: Eukaryota; Apicomplexa; Aconoidasida; Haemosporida; Plasmodiidae
Description: bacterial SSU rRNA
Rfam family: Eukaryotic small subunit ribosomal RNA
Source: RNAcentral
AAUUGGCCGCUUUAUUAAUGAUUCUUUUUAGAUCUUUCUUUUUUGCUUCGGCAUUUUAGGAGAUCUUGUAACUAUGAGUAAAUUAGAAUGUUUAAAACAAACAGAUUAUAGCAUCUUUAUGCGUUUGAAUACUACAGCAUGGAAUAACAAAAUUGAACAAGUCAGAAUUUUGUUCUUUUUUCUUAUUUUGGCUUAGUUACGAUUAAUAGGAGUAGCUUGGGGGCAUUUGUAUUCAGAUGUCAGAGGUGAAAUUCUUAGAUUUUCUGGAGACAAACAACUGCGAAAGCAUUUGCCUAAAAUACUUCCAUUAAUCAAGAACGAAAGUUAAGGGAGUGAAGACGAUCAGAUACCGUCGUAAUCUUAACCAUAAACUAUGCCGACUAGGCUUUGGAUGAAAGAUGGAGAAUCCAAGGUUCCUGCCGA